UACGUAGGGUGCAAGCGUUAAUCGGAAUUACUGGGCGUAAAGCGCGCGUAGGCGGCUUUGUAAGUUAGAGGUGAAAGCCCGGAGCUCAACUCCGGAAUUGCCUUUAAGACUGCAUCGCUAGAAUCAUGGAGAGGUUAGUGGAAUUCCGAGUGUAGAGGUGAAAUUCGUAGAUAUUCGGAAGAACACCAGUGGCGAAGGCGACUAACUGGACAUGUAUUGACGCUGAGGUGCGAAAGCGUGGGGAGCAAACAGG
RNAcentral lists this ribosomal RNA (253 nucleotides) under uncultured bacterium. RNAcentral's name for it is "partial 16S ribosomal RNA". It matches the Rfam family "Bacterial small subunit ribosomal RNA", at positions 524 to 776 of the family's 1533-position model. The record is from RNAcentral.